RNAcentral lists this ribosomal RNA (406 nucleotides) under uncultured bacterium. RNAcentral describes it as "bacterial SSU rRNA". It matches the Rfam family "Bacterial small subunit ribosomal RNA", at positions 29 to 424 of the family's 1533-position model. The record is from RNAcentral.
AGCGAACGCUGGCGGCGUGCCUAACACAUGCAAGUCGAACGUGAAAGGGAGCAAUCCCAAGUAAAGUGGCGUACGGGUGAGUAACGCGUAGGUAAUCUACCCCAGAAUCUGGAAUAACCGGCCGAAAGGCUGGCUAAUACUGGAUAGAGCGAUGGAAUCCGUAAUUGGGUUUUUCGGGAAAGGGAGGACGUAAGUCCCCUCGUUUUGGGAUGAGCCUGCGUCUCAUUAGCUAGUUGGUGAGGUAAUAGCUCACCAAGGCUUUGAUGGGUAGCUGGUCUGAGAGGAUGAUCAGCCACACUGGAACUGAAACACGGUCCAGACUCCUACGGGAGGCAGCAGUGGGGAAUCUUGCGCAAUGGACGAAAGUCUGACGCAGCCACGCCGCGUGAGUGAAGAAGGCCUGGUU